Molecule: long non-coding RNA, 1368 nt
Filed under: Phascolarctos cinereus (koala)
Lineage: Eukaryota; Metazoa; Chordata; Mammalia; Diprotodontia; Phascolarctidae
Description: lncRNA (ENSPCIG00000000395.2)
Source: RNAcentral
CUUGCCCACAGAAGAUGACGUAUAUGUUAGGUGGCUUUCUACCACACCUGGGCCUCGGCUGCUCAGAUAACUGGACAGUAAUUUGUGCGUGUGAGGCGAUGCAAUGCGAUGCGGGGCGUUCGUUCUCCCUCUUUUGGGGAUAGUUGCGGGGAGAUCAUGGCCUGGAUGCUGCACUCAGCUCCUUGCUUGUGAACACUAAGUCUUGAUUCCCGUAUUCCCCUGUCCGAGGGGAUUCAGGAUCGGAGCUUUGAAAUCCUGCCCCGGACGUGUGUGAAUGUGUGAGUGUGUGCGCGCGUCGGGAGGGAGGGAGGAGAGAGAGGAAGAGGAGGAGGCCGCUAGAAAAGGGGAAGAAGGACGGAGGGAAGGGGCAGACAGGGGGCCCGGCGGCAGCCAGCCAGCCAGUUUGGUCUCUGUGUCGCUUAGGCAGCGACGGAGGCGGAGGCAGAGUGAGGCUCUGAUGGUUGGGGUGGGAGGCUGCAGGCGGGGAGGGGGCCGAGCCUAGCCUACCGAGCGGGGCCGGGCUGGGCUGGGCCAGCCUUUGGAGCUCUCUCUGGCGGCCACAGCUGGAGCGCGGCCAGCGGAGGCACAGACAGAGGCAGAGGCAGGGGCAGAGGCGGCUGCUACCCAGGCAGGGAUACAGGCAGGAGCAGGAGCAGGAGCAGGAGCAGGAGCCCGAGCUGGGGCAAGGCGCAGCGCACCGCCUCCGAGCGCUCCCGGCCGGCCGAUCGGGAAGCAGUCCCGCGGGCCGGAGCUCGAGCCGCGCUGCCCGCCAGCCCUGCCGUGUCCUGCCCCGUCCUGUCCCGCCGUGUCCUGCUCUGCGCCGGGCCCGUCCCGCUUGCUUCGUCUCCCUUGCUUAGCCUCCGCGCGCACGCUCCCAAGUCCCGGGCGCGGAGCCGAAGCCCCAGCCCCAGCCUCAGCCUCCGGUAGGCCGGCCGGCCGGCGCCUCCCCUCCUCCUUGUCAGGCCCCGGCUCUGGCUCCCGCAGCCCGAGGAAGAAGUGGAGCAGGACGCAGAGAAGAGGGGGCCCCGCUCCCCGCGCCUUGGCCCCGCGCCCCCUGCUGCCUCCAUCGUGCCCCUGCCCCCAGCCAUGGUGGGCCACCUGCACUUCCAGGGCAUGGAGGACAGCCUCAAAGAGAAAAGCCGGGAGGGCUUGUUGGACAGUCCCGACUCCGGGCUGCCCCCCAGCCCCAGCCCGCCCUUCUACUCCCUGACCCCCGGGAUCAUGGACAGCCGAUCUGCAGGCAGUGGCGCCUCUGCUGAGUCGCCAGGAACCGGGCCCCAUGGGGACCCCCCAGGAGGCCGUAGUGGUAAGACCGCCUUCUCCCCCUCUCUCCGUCACAACCAUUUCGGGUGCCCAGGGCAGCCAGAC